CCUACGGGAGGCAGCAGUGAGGAAUAUUGGUCAAUGGACGAGAGUCUGAACCAGCCAAGUAGCGUGAAGGAUGACUGCCCUAUGGGUUGUAAACUUCUUUUAUAUGGGAAUAAAACGUUCCACGUGUGGGAUUUUGUAUGUACCAUAUGAAUAAGGAUCGGCUAACUCCGUGCCAGCAGCCGCGGUAAUACGGAGGAUCCGAGCGUUAUCCGGAUUUAUUGGGUUUAAAGGGAGCGUAGGUGGAUUGUUAAGUCAGUUGUGAAAGUUUGCGGCUCAACCGUAAAAUUGCAGUUGAAACUGGCAGUCUUGAGUACAGUAGAGGUGGGCGGAAUUCGUGGUGUAGCGGUGAAAUGCUUAGAUAUCACGAAGAAGUCCGAUUGCGAAGGCAGUUCACUGGACUGCAACUGACACUGAGGCUCGAAAGUGUGGGUAUCAAACAGGAUUAGAUACCCUAGUAGUC
This 460-nucleotide ribosomal RNA is filed under the name uncultured bacterium. RNAcentral describes it as "partial 16S ribosomal RNA". It matches the Rfam family "Bacterial small subunit ribosomal RNA", at positions 338 to 795 of the family's 1533-position model. The record is from RNAcentral.